This 486-nucleotide small RNA is filed under the name Pan troglodytes (chimpanzee). RNAcentral describes it as "retained intron". Lineage: Eukaryota; Metazoa; Chordata; Mammalia; Primates; Hominidae. The record is from RNAcentral.
CAGGUGGCAGAGGGCAGGGUGCUGGCAGAAUUGGGAACACCUGGAGGGGACAUAAGGUGGGGGUGGAGUCCUUUUCUGCCUUCACGUGGUUAUCCACUCGCUCUCUUCCCAUAGAGCCUGUCUUCCACCGUGACCCUUGAACACUCUUCACUCCCUCCUGGGGUCCACAUUUCUUACGAAUCCCAGUGUGAGGGUCCUGAGAAGAGGGAGGGUAAGGCUGAGGAUCGAGGACAGUGCAACCACGUCCGAAUCAACCAGACGGUGACUUUCUGGGUUUCUCUCCAAGCCACCCACUGCCUCCCAGAGCCCCAUCUCCUGAGGCUCCGGGCCCUUGGCUUCUCAGAGGAGCUGAUUGUGGAGUUGCACACGCUGUGUGACUGUAAUUGCAGUGACACCCAGCCCCAGGCUCCCCACUGCAGUGAUGGCCAGGGACACCUACAAUGUGGUGUAUGCAGGUGAGGGCCUCCUCUUCCCUUCACCCACCUG